GACGAACGCUGGCGGCGUGCUUAACACAUGCAAGUCGAACGGAAAGGCCCUGCUUUUGUGGGGUGCUCGAGUGGCGAACGGGUGAGUAACACGUGAGUAACCUGCCCUUGACUUUGGGAUAACUUCAGGAAACUGGGGCUGAUACCGGAUAGGAGCUCCUGCUGCAUGGUGGGGGUUGGAAAGUUUCGGCGGUUGGGGAUGGACUCGCGGCUUAUCAGCUUGUUGGUGGGGUAGUGGCUUACCAAGGCUUUGACGGGUAGCCGGCCUGAGAGGGUGACCGGCCACAUUGGGACUGAGAUACGGCCCAGACUCCUACGGGAGGCAGCAGUGGGGAAUAUUGCACAAUGGGCGGAAGCCUGAUGCAGCAACGCCGCGUGCGGGAUGGCGGCCUUCGGGUUGUAAACCGCUUUCGCCUGUGACGAAGCGUGAGUGACGGUAAUGGGUAAAGAAGCACCGGCUAACUACGUG
This 468-nucleotide ribosomal RNA is filed under the name uncultured bacterium. RNAcentral describes it as "partial 16S ribosomal RNA". It matches the Rfam family "Bacterial small subunit ribosomal RNA", at positions 28 to 507 of the family's 1533-position model. The record is from RNAcentral.